GGCUCCAUAGUGUAGUGGUUAGUACAUCUGCUUUGCACGCAGAAAGUCGUGGAUUUGUGCCCCAGGUGGAGCCA
Pteropus alecto (black flying fox) is the source of this 74-nucleotide non-coding RNA. Lineage: Eukaryota; Metazoa; Chordata; Mammalia; Chiroptera; Pteropodidae. The record is from Rfam.